Molecule: ribosomal RNA, 255 nt
Filed under: uncultured bacterium
Lineage: Bacteria
Description: partial 16S ribosomal RNA
Rfam family: Bacterial small subunit ribosomal RNA
Source: RNAcentral
UACGAAGGGGGCUAGCGUUGCUCGGGAAUUACUGGGCGUAAAGCGCACGUAGGCGGUCUUUUAAGUCGGGGGUGAAAUCCUGGAGCUCAACUCCAGAACUGCCUUCGAUACUGGAAGACUCGAGUCCGGGAGAGGAUGAGUGGAACUGCGAGUGUAGAGGUGAAAUUGUAGAUAUUCGCAAGAACACCAGUGGCGAAGGCGGCUCACUGGCCCGGUACUGACGCUGAGGUGCGAAAGCGUGGGGAGCAAACAGGG